This 441-nucleotide ribosomal RNA is filed under the name uncultured bacterium. Its description in RNAcentral is "partial 16S ribosomal RNA". It matches the Rfam family "Bacterial small subunit ribosomal RNA", at positions 338 to 795 of the family's 1533-position model. The record is from RNAcentral.
CCUACGGGAGGCAGCAGUGGGGGAUAUUGCACAAUGGGGGGAACCCUGAUGCAGCGACGCCGCGUGGGUGAAGGAGUGCUUCGGCAUGUAAAGCCCUAUCGGCAGGGAAGAAGCAAGACGGUACCUGACUAAGAAGCACCGGCUAACUACGUGCCAGCAGCCGCGGUAAUACGUAGGGGGCGAGCGUUAUCCGGAUUCACUGGGUGUAAAGGGAGCGUAGACGGCCAUGCAAGCCAGGGGUGAAAGCCCGGGGCCCAACCCCGGGACUGCCCUUGGAACUGUGCGGCUAGAGUGCGGGAGGGGCAGGCGGAAUUCCUGGGGUAGCGGUGAAAUGCGUAGAGAUCAGGAGGAACACCGGCGGCGAAGGCGGCCUGCUGGACCGCGACUGACGUUGAGGCUCGAAAGCGUGGGGAGCGAACAGGAUUAGAUACCCCAGUAGUC